RNAcentral lists this small RNA (2729 nucleotides) under Drosophila pseudoobscura pseudoobscura. RNAcentral's name for it is "GA31747". Lineage: Eukaryota; Metazoa; Arthropoda; Insecta; Diptera; Drosophilidae. The record is from RNAcentral.
UUUUUCUGCAACAAACAAAAAGAAACGAGAGUGGCGAGAAACAAAUAACCAGAACAUGAUACCUCUAAGGCCAUAUCGAUGACACCUCUCCAUGGGUGUAUCCAAUGAUUGUAAUUUAUUAGAUCUAUGCGAACUGUCAUUCAAAGAUGGGGUGAUAUCCAGUCAUUCCGAAAUGAGAUUCGCAAGAGGCAGGACGAUGCGAUUGAAGGAACAAGAAUUGCUGUGGAACGGUGGAUGAGAUGAUGCUGGCCUACCUGCAGAACCGGUGUACCAUUUUGAUCUGGUCCAAAGACGUACAUAUGCUGCUUUGACUGGAUUUAUCCUUGAUGGACUGCGAUUUCAAUCAAAUAUAGAUAAUUCAGACACAACAACAAAACAAACAUAAUAAACCAAAAUUGAAGUUAAAAACAUGAACGCGUGCCCAAAAAAACACGAAGAUUUCACCAAAUUUAAACACGAGGACGGCGAAGAUCAGGUUCGAUGCCUAAAGGUAAUACCGCACCGAGGCAGAAGCAACAAGGGCAUUAUCAGUAUCAGGUGUAGCAGGCGACCGCCAUGCGGAGGGUGGAGGGGCGGAGAGAAUCCUCAGUGAGUUUUGAUCGCCUCUUUAAGGACCUUUCGAUCAUUACUUAAAUGUACUUUCUGCAAGGCAAAAGCACUAUUAUUCCUAUUGUGUGCAUAUAUCCUCUUUGCUUGUACGAGGGUAUGUGGGUCAGGCCAUAUGCACAAUAAAAAAAGAGAUGAAAAGGCGCAUGGGGUGCAAGAAGGAUGCAUGUCCUGGCUCAGAGCCCCGAUACGCAGCGUGUGUGCUCUUUUGACUUUUGAUUAAAUUCGCACGCGCCAAAAACCCGAAAAAAAAACAAAAUACAUGCAUGGUCAUGUGGAAGUUUUCCAAAAAAUGAACAAAUAUGAACUGAAAAUUCCCCAAAGGGGGGGUCCCGACUAUGGAUAUACCCUCUCUUGGGCCUGACACAUAAAGAAGGUCUUUUCUCUUCCGUGGAUACGCCACACAAAUCAUAAUGAAGUGUUCUCUAGUCUUAGGGAAGUACAUUUUAAUUAUUUUGUUUUUUUUGCUUUUUAAUAUUGUUAUUUAUUUCGUUGAAAUUCCUAUAAAUAAGUAUUUACCUUUGUACAGGAUUAAAAAACAGAUCUAAAAUAUUUGUUUCUGCAAUAUCUGAAGAAUUAAAAAUCUAUCUAAGACAUAUUAUGUUGAGGGCACUUUCAAUGGUAGUACCUAAUAUUAUAAUAUAACAAAAAUUAAAAUGGUUUAAAAAUCAAAUAUUCUAUCUAGUGCAGCUACAAAAAUUCAAAAUUCCUUUGUACUCCUCUUUCUGUAUGAGGUACAACCAAAAUAUUCAAAAAUUGAACUCUUUUUCGGUAUCUUUUUUUGAAAAGCAAACCAAAAAAAAAGUGUGUAGACAAAUUGCUUUCAAAGCCUUUAAGGCAUGUUGCUGGGUAUGUGCCGGGUAUGGGUUGGUCGGACCGGAGAGGUUGAUCCACACCAAUUUAAAUGCGCGCCCAAACUGUGCAACGAAAUUUCAAAUUUCCCAUUUGCAUAAAAGUCACACCAACAUAAAAAACAAAACAAACAUAAACUAAAAUGAUAAUAAUAAAGAACAAAUUCCCUUACUCUACUUUUUGUCUUAACUUUUUUUUUGUUGCUAAUGCAAAUUCGUGUCUAGUUUUGUUUUUGACUGUGGUCGGAAUUUUUCGUGGUGCGGUUAAGUAGUGCAGGAAUGCAGAAAUUGAACGCCGGACUGUUGCAUGGAAAGGACUUUCCAACAUCAUAAUAAUGUGAAUUAUUCAUUCGUUUAUGUUUUUGGUUUAUGUUUUUAAUUAAAUUUGUUGUUCGCGGCCACGAAAAAGGGACCAUAAGCUUUUAUUCCCCAGCUAACCAUUAUUUUCUCUGUGAUUUUGUUCAUCAAUUAUGACAGUUGUUUAACAUUUCAUUUUGUCUAGUUUAGGGGCUUAUGAGAGUACUCUUUCAUAUGCUUGUAUGAGCGAUUGCUACGACUCAUUUGCUUGGAAUACUAUUGAGGGUGUCGAAGGAAGGAGGACUUUGAUUCAAAAGAUUCAAGCAUCCUUGCAUGGGUUACCUAUAAUUUCGAUGCUAUAAAUAUAAGGAUUUUGCUCAAUUUCCAACCCAUUGUCAGGUAUCGCCUUCAAUUUGCGGUUCGCCUCUACUGCUGCUACUGUGUAUCUGAUAAUAUGGAAAUUUCCGCGUUCAGUCUUCUCCACUGUUCAUUUUCCUUGGCAUCUAUACACAUCUUUCCAUCUUUGGCUUUGGACGGACGUGCCGGUUCCUGUCGCAGUCCAUCAACCCAUCGUCCCAUCGUCGCCUCCUACUUUGUAGUGCCUUUGGGACUUUUUUUAUAAACAAAUAGGGAGUAACACUUUCUCUGGCCCAGCGUGAUAUUGCUUCUACAUUGCUAUGCUAUGCCCGCUCACAAUGACACGACUCGACGCGAGUCGAGUCAAGGCAGGCGAUGCACACAGGAUGCCAGCACACGCACAAGCACACACACUAGUGAACAAGUGGGAAUGGAAUGACUUAGCGCCGACUAUGGGAUACCUACUGUCGGUCCACUUUUCUAUACCGAUCUGCCUGUUCUUGGUACAAGCGUUAAGGAUAUAAGCAAAGGCGUUCCUAGGUCCCUCUUGCUUUUGGGGUCUCCUAGAUCUUCUACCUCUACAAUAAACGGAUGUACCCUCACAGCCGCUAUAGCAAU